CUUAGGCGCCUUAGCUUCUUCAUAUGUGAAUCAUGAAUGGAAGUGCUUGGCUCACAGUGUCACAGAUCGUUCUUUAAACUAUUUGAAGAUCUACUUUAUCUUAACUAACGACUCUAAUCUAUAUCUAUGUAGUGGAGUGGAUACCCUUUCAGGAAACACCGGCCACCCCGAUAUCCACGUGACCCUUCGCCCUAGUUGGCACCUUGUGUCCGCGCAUAAAAAGGUAGACCAACGUGGGCAAUGUCCAUUCGACCGGCAUCUCUUGUCGCUGUAGUGUCCGUAUGUUACUGGACCUACGUAUGUUACUGGACCUACGUCGUCUCCACUCCCUGUUUGUGUCUGUUUCUACACCAUGUGUUUAUGUAUGGCUGCAGAUGUAUAUUUCAAGAAGAAAGGAUGCUUUCUUAUUCCUAAGAGUUUAUCAAUAGGAUGGAUGCCUUAAAACUCACUUGUUAUGCCAGAAACUCUUCCUACGAAACUUCCAUACUAGAAUCUGUCCAGUGCCUGUGAUCCUCUGAGUUGAAGGAGAAUGUGAUCCAUAAUACCUACUAGGAGCUUGCUGAUAGCUGGAAGUUCAUGAAUACUAUGUUGUCCUUGAUUUGAUGAUUCUGAAAACUACCAUUUCUGAAGACUUGAGCAUUAUUUCUAUAAUUUAAAAAAAUCUUUUCAGGAAAUAUUGUGUUUAUAAUAUUAAGAAAGUGAAGAUAAUAUUGUUCUUACUAAUAUUAUUGACUUAUUAAAAUAGAAAGCACA
Biomphalaria glabrata is the source of this 753-nucleotide long non-coding RNA. RefSeq lists it as uncharacterized. NCBI's taxonomy places the organism in Eukaryota, Metazoa, Mollusca, Gastropoda, Planorbidae. The transcript has 3 exons. The record is from RefSeq and is a predicted model, not a curated record.